Molecule: long non-coding RNA, 361 nt
Filed under: Zostera marina
Lineage: Eukaryota; Viridiplantae; Streptophyta; Magnoliopsida; Alismatales; Zosteraceae
Description: long non-coding RNA (ZMAR_LNC004405)
Source: RNAcentral
GCCAUCAAGCUGAUCUGAUUGGCAAACCCUGGUGCGACCUGAGUGUCCGGCGAUCGGAUGGAUGGACGGAUAGAUCGGUAGCCAUGCAUAUUUUCCGGUAAUUAGGGUUUAGGUAUUUGGAAAAAAAAUCCAAUGCUCGCCAUUAGGUUCUACUCUAAGAUUGUGUUCCUUGGCAAACUUAUCGACAGCUCUCCUAACACCAUAUUCCUCAGAUCCGUUGAAGUAAUCGUGUCCGAACAUGACGCCGCCGGGCUUGAGAAGCUUCCAAGCUCUGUUGAUAUCUUCCCACGCAGAAUGAAAACUAUGUCCAGCGUCGACUUCUAUAAGAUCUGCGUAUAUCCCGGUGAGACACAACUUGUCU